AAGAGUUCUGAUAGACAGCCUAGCUGUCUCAUCGCUCCCACCCUUUGUUUAUAUUACCUUUGUUGCUUUGGCAGGCCCGCUCCAGGGCCGCCGGCUUUAGCUGGUCAGUGUCUGCCAGAGGACCUAAAACUCUUAAUAAUAUUGUCUGAGUACUACAUAAUAGUUA
Molecule: unclassified non-coding RNA, 166 nt
Filed under: uncultured Ascomycota
Lineage: Eukaryota; Fungi; Ascomycota
Description: sequence contains ITS1
Source: RNAcentral